UCAUUGGGCGUAAAGCGCCUGUAGGUUGUUUAAUAAGUCUGUUGUUAAAGACUAGGGCUUAACCCUAGAAAAGCAAUGGAAACUACUAGACUAGAGUAUGGCAGGGGUAGAGGGAAUUUCUAGUGUAGCGGUGAAAUGCGUAGAUAUUAGAAAGAACACCGGUGGCGAAAGCGCUCUACUGGACCAUUACUGACACUCAGAGGCGAAAGCUAGGGUAGCAAAAGGGAUUAGAUACCCCUGUAGUCCUAGCCGUAAACGAUGGAUACUAGAUGUUGUGCAUUACGUACAGUAUCGUAGCUAACGCGUUAAGUAUCCCGCCUGGGGAGUACGCUCGCAAGGGUGAAACUCAAAGGAAUUGACGGGGGCCCGCACAAGCGGUGGAGCAUGUGGUUUAAUUCGAUGCAACGCGAAGAACCUUACCAGGACUUGACAUACUACGAAUUCUUUUGAGAAAAAGAAGUGCCUUCGGGAAUGUAGAUACAGGUGGUGCAUGGCUGUCGUCAGCUCGUGUCGUGAGAUGUUGGGUUAAGUCCCGCAACGAGCGCAACCCUUAUUUUUAGUUACCAAUUCGUUGGGUUCUCUAGAAAGACUGCCGGUGACAAACCGGAGGAAGGUGAGGAUGACGUCAAGUCAGCAUGCCCCUUAUGUCCUGGGCUACACACGUGCUACAAUGGUUAAGACAAAGAGUCGCGAGCUCGCAAGAGUCAGCUAAUCUCAUAAACUUAGCCCAAGUUCAGAUUGUAGGCUGCAACUC
This 754-nucleotide ribosomal RNA is filed under the name uncultured marine haptophyte. Its description in RNAcentral is "bacterial SSU rRNA". It matches the Rfam family "Bacterial small subunit ribosomal RNA", at positions 551 to 1313 of the family's 1533-position model. The record is from RNAcentral. Lineage: Eukaryota; Haptophyta.